Molecule: non-coding RNA, 77 nt
Organism: Podarcis lilfordi (Lilford's wall lizard)
Lineage: Eukaryota; Metazoa; Chordata; Lepidosauria; Squamata; Lacertidae
Source: the annotation of a GenBank genome assembly
GGAGAAGGGCUUGGCUCAGUGGUAGAGCGUGUGCUUUUGCAUGUGAAAGGUCCCAGGUUCAAUCCCUGACGUCUCCA